RNAcentral lists this long non-coding RNA (1234 nucleotides) under Equus asinus (donkey). RNAcentral describes it as "lncRNA (ENSEASG00005026172.1)". Lineage: Eukaryota; Metazoa; Chordata; Mammalia; Perissodactyla; Equidae. The record is from RNAcentral.
UACAAGGAGAACAGAUUCUUAUUGAACUUAUGCAAAUAACUAUAUUGCCAAGAAAUAGCCAUAUUCUUUCACAAAGAGUUUCCAAAUUCUGGAGGGAUCAGGUAGGGAGAAAAAGACAAAUGUUUCAGUUUUGCUCACAAACGUAUAAUUUCACUGAUUGCUAUAAGACGUGGUUAGCAUAAGAGAAAAGAUUUCCUUAAAUCUGAGAAAACAAAACAACACAUCAAAAACAAUAUUUCAAACAAAAGUCGUAAAAAUUAUAAUCAUCCUCAGUUCAUUCAGUCCUGUAUAACUGGUUCUUGAUCUUAAUCUGUUAGCAGUUUUGUUUUUUAACAUUAAAACUCAUUUGCUUAAUUGGAUUUACUUUAAUCUCAGUCUAUGUGACCAGGCAUAAAACUCCUUUCAGAAUUUCUCCUUCACAAAACUUCUACAACUUUCUUUUUGCCUUCAGAAUUUGUCCCAUGCUUUCUUUCUUCCCUUCUAGUACAUUAGGACAAAUUUGUCUUUCUUCACCAACCAAACAAAAAUAUUUCCGUUCUUUAUACCCUUUUUACUGAAAACUUACAUUUUAACUUUUUCCUUGAAUGCAGAGCUGUUUUCCUUAUUAAUUUCCAAUGGCUUUAAUUACAUAUGUUAAUUAGAACUUUUAACCAUUAACAGACAAAAGGUAAGCAAUUAUGAAUUGUAUUUUAUAUCAGCAUUCUAAACACUUCAUAAUUUCUAGGAACACAUCACUUUACAGUAAAAGACCCAUAGACUUUAGCAUCUCUGCAAUAAAAACCAAAAGCAGAUAAACUUAGAUGUUUAGCAACGUUUGUUCUAUCCAAUCCAAAAAUUACCCAGAUACUCAGAUUUUUAUCAUUUAACUUGACUUGGCAAAACCAAAAAGAAUUUCAAAGGUGUGUUUUUUUUUUCCAAGUGUACAGACCAUAAAACAGUUAUUGUACCCACUUUUAUCUAUUUAAACCGUUUGUUUCCAACACUUAUGUUCAGAUUACCUAUGAAAACCUCAUGAGACAUGAGACAAAACUGGUCCUCAUUUAAAGCUAUUAUUUUGCUAACGAAUUUCUAACAGACAACGUGAAUUUAUUUGACUAGUAAACCCAGGCUGCAUGCCUGCAUCGUUAUGCAAAUACCGACAACUCUGACAACAAGACUAUUUUCAAUCAAACCAACAAACUUAAACAAGCUUUCAUUUACCAAAGGUUAAUUCACAAGACGUUAACUUUGAAAG